GAUGAACGCUGGCGGCGUGCCUAAUACAUGCAAGUCGAGCGAACGGACGAGAAGCUUGCUUCUCUGAUGUUAGCGGCGGACGGGUGAGUAACACGUGGAUAACCUACCUAUAAGACUGGGAUAACUUCGGGAAACCGUAGCUAAUACCGGAUAAUAUUUUGAACCGCAUGGUUCAAAAGUGAAAGACGGUCUUGCUGUCACUUAUAGAUGGAUCCGCGCUGCAUUAGCUAGUUGGUAAGGUAACGGCUUACCAAGGCAACGAUGCAUAGCCGACCUGAGAGGGUGAUCGGCCACACUGGAACUGAGACACGGUCCAGACUCCUACGGGAGGCAGCAGUAGGGAAUCUUCCGGAAUGGGCGAAAGCCUGACGGAGCAACGCCGCGUGAGUGAUGAAGGUCUUCGGAUCGUAAAACUCUGUUAUUAGGGAAGAACAUAUGUGUAAGUAACUGUGCACAUCUUGACGGUACCUAAUCAGAAAGCCACGGCUAACUACGUG
Molecule: ribosomal RNA, 497 nt
Filed under: uncultured bacterium
Lineage: Bacteria
Description: partial 16S ribosomal RNA
Rfam family: Bacterial small subunit ribosomal RNA
Source: RNAcentral